This is a long non-coding RNA of Tupaia belangeri chinensis (Chinese tree shrew), 312 nucleotides long. RefSeq lists it as uncharacterized. Lineage: Eukaryota; Metazoa; Chordata; Mammalia; Scandentia; Tupaiidae. The record is from RefSeq and is a predicted model, not a curated record. The transcript is spliced from 3 exons.
GCGAGAGAAUGCGGCCACAAAGGGACAGGGAACUGUCCACAUGGGUCCCACAGGCCAAGAGUGAAUUAUUUAAGCUGUUCCUGGUGUUUAAAGAGGUUUUUCAGUUUUUAAAGAAUGUUGUAAAAAAAUAUCAGGCCUUGUUAACUCCCUCAUUACAUGCUUUUUUCCCCUUCAGCUGAACAAGCCCGGUUUCCUGAGACGGAGGAGCUUUGAAUUAGAACACGAAUGCAUUCAGCAACUACAGUUUCUGUUUUAGAAGGAACAGCAACAUUCACAGGGAAUGCAUGUGCCCUACAGCAAAAAAUAUCUCUU